GAUGAACGCUGGCGGCGUGCCUAAUACAUGCAAGUCGAGCGAACAGACGAGGAGCUUGCUCCUCUGACGUUAGCGGCGGACGGGUGAGUAACACGUGGAUAACCUACCUAUAAGACUGGGAUAACUUCGGGAAACCGGAGCUAAUACCGGAUAAUAUAUUGAACCGCAUGGUUCAAUAGUGAAAGACGGUUUUGCUGUCACUUAUAGAUGGAUCCGCGCCGCAUUAGCUAGUUGGUAAGGUAACGGCUUACCAAGGCAACGAUGCGUAGCCGACCUGAGAGGGUGAUCGACCACACGGGAACUGAGACGCGGUCCAGACUCCUAGGGGAGGCAGCGGUAGGAAAUCUUCGGAAAUGGGCGAAAGCUUGACGGAGAAACGCGGCGUGAGUGAGAAAGAUCUUCGGUGCGUAAAACUCGGUUAUUAGGGAAGAACAAAUGUGUAGGAAACUAUGAGCGUCUGGAGGGAACCGAUCAGAAAGCCACGGCUAACUACGUG
Molecule: ribosomal RNA, 496 nt
Filed under: uncultured bacterium
Lineage: Bacteria
Description: partial 16S ribosomal RNA
Rfam family: Bacterial small subunit ribosomal RNA
Source: RNAcentral